This 639-nucleotide ribosomal RNA is filed under the name uncultured bacterium. RNAcentral's name for it is "bacterial SSU rRNA". It matches the Rfam family "Bacterial small subunit ribosomal RNA", at positions 394 to 1050 of the family's 1533-position model. The record is from RNAcentral.
ACGCCGCGUGGGGGAUGAAGGCCUUCGGGUUGUAAACCCCUUUCAGCAGGGACGAAAUUGACGGUACCUGCAGAAGAAGCACCGGCCAACUACGUGCCAGCAGCCGCGGUAACACGUAGGGUGCAAGCGUUGUCCGGAUUCAUUGGGCGUAAAGGGCUAGUAGGCGGCUUGGCAAGUCGGAUGUGAAAACUUCAGGCUUAACCUGAAGCGGCCAUCCGAUACUGCUAUGGCUAGAGUCCGGUAGGGGACCACGGAAUUCCUGGUGUAGCGGUGAAAUGCGCAGAUAUCAGGAGGAACACCGGUGGCGAAGGCGGUGGUCUGGGCCGGAACUGACGCUGAGUAGCGAAAGCGUGGGUAGCGAACAGGAUUAGAUACCCUGGUAGUCCACGCCGUAAACGUUGGGCACUAGGUGUGGGGGAUUAUCAACGUCCUCCGUGCCGUAGCUAACGCAUUAAGUGCCCCGCCUGGGGAGUACGGCCGCAAGGCUAAAACUCAAAGGAAUUGACGGGGGCCCGCACAAGCGGCGGAGCAUGUGCCUUAAUUCGAGGCAACGCGAAGAACCUUACCUGGGUUGAACUACGCAGGAAAAGCCGUAGAGAUACGGUGUCCUUCGGGGUCUGCGAGAGGUGGUGCAUGGCC